UUUACACUGGACAUUUUCUUCUUGGGAAAUCAAAUGUGUUUGGGACAACAGCUAAAGCUGCCGGACAGGACGGGUAUUGAGACUGUCUGAGGGUAUAUAAAGCUGAAUGGGUGAACUUCACUUUGGGGUGAGGUCAAAUUUUGAAAUCAUGUCACUCUGACAUGUUUCCAGCUAUUGCCUGUAUUCCUCAUUGUCCUGUUAGCUGUUAGUAGCAUAGUAACUUGAAGUGUUACAUUAGGAAGGGUAUCUGGCAUAAAAACUGUGCCAAAUCAAAAACUCAGAUCCAUCUGCUGUGGGAGCAUCUUGUGGAAAAAAAGAAAGCAGCUGUAAAUACUUUAUUCAAGAGUUUCCAAUGUGCAUGAAUUCACGCAAAUAUCUCACGGCAAUACUUCACUUUGUCUUUGGUGUGAACGCAAUAUUAAAAAAAAACAAGGCAUGAACCUUGUAGUUUGGGAGAAUUGUUACACCUCGAGAAUCAUAAAUGCAUACCGAGUCAAACAUCUUGUUUGUCAACUAACAAUUAACUAAAACUGCUUUAAGGUACUUAUUGUAAUUUCCUCUGUUUUAAAAAGUUUUUUUUUAACACCUUUUAAAGUUAAAUGAAGCUUUCAGCAGAAUAUAAAUAAUUGAUCGGCAUGACUUUACGUCAAAAACAUUGAUAUAUUUUUUGUCGAAGAGAUAUAAAGUGAACCUUAACCAGGGCUGGAUGGCAAUUUUGUGUAAUACCAAUUUGUACCACAAGAUGGUGCAUCAGCAUAACCUUUGUUUAACCAGGCAAGCCAUUAGAACAUUGUUUGUACAAUGGCAUUUACUGGUGAAAUACUGCCCCCUGGUGAUAAAGGUUUUAGUUAACAUUUGCUGCAGUUUAAUUACAAAAAGUACCUUUAAAAGAUUUUUUUGUCUUUUUGUACAGUUGUACAACAAAAUGCUGCAUUGAAUUUUAUAUCUUAUUGUACUGGAGAAAGAUUUUUUUUUUUACUGUUGUUUGUAACGAUUAAUCAACACGUGACGAUACAUAUGAAGUAAAUGGUUUUACAUGUUUAUUAUAAUAGCUAAACAGGUUUCUUUUCCUAAAAUAUAAUCUCUUUUGGUGACCACUUUACAACAUGUUGGUGCAGUAGUAAUAGUAGAUUAUUUCAGUAAUGGUGCAAACUUCUGUGUAACGUUCCGGUUCUAGUACCAGGGUCGAUCUGAAUUCACUCAGUAAUGAUGUGCGUUUUCUUCUUGUAGUAGUUUUUAUAGGCUCUCAACUCAAAUAUUCAACGAUAGGUCCUCUAUCAGCCUGCCAACCUACCACUGAACAUGUUUUUCAGAGUGAGUGAAGCCCUGUUAAUGCUUUAUUAUCACGCUUGUGAUGUAGGUUGAUUGUCCCCAGUGCAGAUGCGGUAAACCUUUAUUUGUUUGCUAUUUUAAAAAAAAAAAGAAGAGUAUUAAGAAGGAUGUGAAGUUAUUUUUUAGAUCACUUUUCUUGAUUACCUCAAAUCAUCCUUCUGUAGCUCAAAACACUGUUAACAAAUCAUCUCUUAUUUGCCAUGUUUCCAUGUUAUCUUUGUUUUGUGGAGUACUGUAUUUAACGUAACAUCUGAUUUAAUGAUCACGCACCUUUUUGUUGCAGAUCUUGCUGUAAGUCACGUUUUCAUUUCAAUACUGGACACCUGAAGUUUGUGGUUCUUUUUUCCUUACUGUAAACUAAUGACUUUCAAAUACAGGUUGGGAAAUCACUGCGUUUUCUUUAACCUUUUAUGGGAACAUUUACUAGAAUAUGUCUGUAGUUAGGGCAUGGUUGAGUAUUUUUGAAUGUGGUGAUGCUGUAGCAUGGGACUGCAGAGAACAUGUAUGUAAAAACGGUUUAAUAAAGCUAGGUUCUGUUAA
Oreochromis aureus is the source of this 1872-nucleotide long non-coding RNA. The record is from Ensembl. Lineage: Eukaryota; Metazoa; Chordata; Actinopteri; Cichliformes; Cichlidae.